CGGCGGGAUGGAAUGCACCUCAAAUCCAGGAGUUGUAUAUGCAACUCCUCUGAACACUGCCCAGAGCCCUAGAAUAACAGGGCAAGAUUGUAAAGAUGAUAUUAAGAACAAGAGUUUCAAGG
Long non-coding RNA from Hipposideros armiger (great roundleaf bat), 122 nucleotides. RefSeq lists it as uncharacterized. The record is from RefSeq and is a predicted model, not a curated record. Lineage: Eukaryota; Metazoa; Chordata; Mammalia; Chiroptera; Hipposideridae. The transcript has 3 exons.